UGGGGAAUAUUGGACAAUGGGCGAAAGCCUGAUCCAGCCAUGCCGCGUGUGUGAAGAAGGCCUUUUGGUUGUAAAGCACUUUAAGCGAGGAGGAGGCUACUUGGAUUAAUACUCUAGGAUAGUGGACGUUACGCGCAGAAUAAGCACCGGCUAACUCUGUGCCAGCAGCCGCGGUAAUACAGAGGGUGCGAGCGUUAAUCGGAUUUACUGGGCGUAAAGCGUGCGUAGGCGGCUUCUUAAGUCGGAUGUGAAAUCCCUGAGCUUAACUUAGGAAUUGCAUUCGAUACUGGGAAGCUAGAGUAUGGGAGAGGAUGGUAGAAUUCCAGGUGUAGCGGUGAAAUGCGUAGAGAUCUGGAGGAAUACCGAUGGCGAAGGCAGCCAUCUGGCCUAAUACUGACGCUGAGGUACGAAAGCAUGGGGAGCAAACAGG
Molecule: ribosomal RNA, 430 nt
Filed under: Acidobacteriota bacterium
Lineage: Bacteria; Pseudomonadati; Acidobacteriota
Description: Acidobacteria bacterium partial 16S ribosomal RNA
Rfam family: Bacterial small subunit ribosomal RNA
Source: RNAcentral